Molecule: ribosomal RNA, 548 nt
Filed under: uncultured Funneliformis
Lineage: Eukaryota; Fungi; Glomeromycota; Glomeromycetes; Glomerales; Glomeraceae
Description: SSU rRNA
Rfam family: Eukaryotic small subunit ribosomal RNA
Source: RNAcentral
UUGGAGGGCAAGUCUGGUGCCAGCAGCCGCGGUAAUUCCAGCUCCAAUAGCGUAUAUUAAAGUUGUUGCAGUUAAAAAGCUCGUAGUUGAAUUUCGGAAUCAAUUUGUUGGUCGUGCCUCGGUACGUACUGGUAUUAUUGGUUUCUACCUUCUGAAGAACCUUGAUGUCAUUAAUUUGGUGUCUUGGGGAAUCAGGACUGUUACUUUGAAAAAAUUAGAGUGUUUAAAGCAAGCAUACGCUUGAAUACAUUAGCAUGGAAUAAUGAAAUAGGACGUUUGAUUCUAUUUUGUUGGUUUCUAGGAUCGACGUAAUGAUUAAUAGGGAUAGUUGGGGGCAUUAGUAUUCAAUUGUCAGAGGUGAAAUUCUUGGAUUUAUUGAAGACUAACUACUGCGAAAGCAUUUGCCAAGGAUGUUUUCAUUAAUCAAGAACGAAAGUUAGGGGAUCGAAGACGAUCAGAUACCGUCGUAGUCUUAACCAUAAACUAUGUCGACUAGGGAUCGGAUGAUGUUAAUUUUUUAAUGACUCAUUCGGCGCCUUACGGGAAAC